CUCGUAAGACGUAUGGGUAAUUAUUACUGGUAAUCAGAAGUGAUAAAACUGUAGUACGCGCGAUUUCAUGCGUUUUGAUAUUUUGGGCUUAAUGGGCCAAAACUGGGUUAAUGGGCCAACGGGCCCAAUUCGGUAAGAACGCUUGGUAAGUGUUUCUGGCUAAACGUAACGGCUACGAUAUGCAUAAAAACCUUAGAAAUAGUUAGAUUUACUAGAAUACCCCUAUGUAUGCAAAAUUACCAUUAUACCCCUAUGUGUGCAAAAUGACCUUUAUACCCCUAG
This 282-nucleotide long non-coding RNA is filed under the name Gossypium barbadense (sea-island cotton). RNAcentral's name for it is "long non-coding RNA (GBAR_LNC002078)". The record is from RNAcentral. Lineage: Eukaryota; Viridiplantae; Streptophyta; Magnoliopsida; Malvales; Malvaceae.